AUGAACGCUGGCGGCGUGCCUAAUCCAUGCAAGUCGAGCGAACAGACGAGGAGCUUGCUCCUCUGACGUUAGCGGCGGACGGGUGAGUAACACGUGGAUAACCUACCUAUAAGACUGGGAUAACUUCGGGAAACCGGAGCUAAUACCGGAUAAUAUAUUUAACCGCAUGGUUCAAUAGUGAAAGACGGUUUUGCUGUCACUUAUAGAUGGAUCCGCGCCGCAUUAGCUAGUUGGUAAGGUAACGGCUUACCAAGGCAACGAUGCGUAGCCGACCUGAGAGGGUGAUCGGCCACACGGGAACUGAGACACGGUCCAGACUCCUACGGGAGGCAGCAGUAGGGAAUCUUCCGCAAUGGGCGAAAGCCUGACGGAGCAACGCCGCGUGAGUGAUGAAGGUCUUCGGAUCGUAAAACUCUGUUAUUAGGGAAGAACAAAUGUGUAAGUAACUAUGCACGUCUUGACGGUACCUAAUCAGAAAGCCACGGCUAACUACGUG
RNAcentral lists this ribosomal RNA (496 nucleotides) under uncultured bacterium. RNAcentral describes it as "partial 16S ribosomal RNA". It matches the Rfam family "Bacterial small subunit ribosomal RNA", at positions 29 to 507 of the family's 1533-position model. The record is from RNAcentral.